This 498-nucleotide ribosomal RNA is filed under the name uncultured bacterium. RNAcentral's name for it is "bacterial SSU rRNA". It matches the Rfam family "Bacterial small subunit ribosomal RNA", at positions 903 to 1397 of the family's 1533-position model. The record is from RNAcentral.
AAAGGAAUUGACGGGGGCCCGCACAAGCGGUGGAGCAUGUGGAUUAAUUCGACGCAACGCGAAGAACCUUACCAAGGCUUGACAUGGAGACGCUCGGCGUGGAAACGCGCUUUCUUCCGCAAGGAAGCGGCUCACACAGGUGGUGCAUGGUUGUCGUCAGCUCGUGUCGUGAGAUGUUGGGUUAAGUCCCGCAACGAGCGCAACCCUUAUGUUCAGUUGCCACCGGGUAAAGCCGGGCACACUGGAGAGACUGCCGUGGAUGACACGGAGGAAGGUGGGGACGAGGUCAAAUCAUCAUGCCCCUUACGUCUUGGGCUUCACACGUGCUACAAUGGCUCAAACAGAGUGAAGCGAACCCGCGAGGGGGAGCGGAUCACAAAAAGGAGCCUCAGUUCGGAUUGUUCUCUGCAACUCGAGAGCAUGAAGUCGGAAUCGCUAGUAAUCGCGAAUCAGCAUGUCGCGGUGAAUACGUUCCCGGGCCUUGUACACACCGCCCGU